This is a non-coding RNA of Pelobates cultripes (western spadefoot toad), 218 nucleotides long. Lineage: Eukaryota; Metazoa; Chordata; Amphibia; Anura; Pelobatidae. The record is from the annotation of a GenBank genome assembly.
CGAGAGAUAUAGCAACCCCAGGUGUUCAGUCUUGUUAGGCAUUGUCAGGGAGGUAUAGUUGAUAUCCCUCUAGGCACCCCUCUAGGGUCCACAUCUGGAUUACCUUUUAAACUUAGGGAGAACAAAAAUCAAGUUGCAAGAGAGUACAGAGAAUGGGCAACAGCUCAAUAAGCUUGCCCUUGAGUGGGUUGCCGCUCAGAUCUCAAGUUGGUUUUAGC